RNAcentral lists this transfer RNA (73 nucleotides) under Chitinophagales bacterium. Its description in RNAcentral is "tRNA-Lys". It matches the Rfam family "tRNA". From Rfam's summary of the family: Transfer RNA (tRNA) molecules are approximately 80 nucleotides in length. Lineage: Bacteria; Pseudomonadati; Bacteroidota; Chitinophagia; Chitinophagales. The record is from RNAcentral.
GACUUUGUAGCUCAGUUGGUAGAGCACAUCACUUUUAAUGAUGGGGUCCUGGGUUCGAGCCCCAGCAAAGUCA